AUGCAGCCCAAAUCGGGCGGUAGACUCCGUCCAAGGCUAAAUACAGGCGAGAGACCGAUAGCGAACAAGUACCGCGAGGGAAAGAUGAAAAGGACGUUGAAAAGAGAGUCAAAGAGUGCUCGGCCAAAGCCCGGGGGCCCUAGGUGCCCCCGGUGGCCGUCAUCGGCACGGCCGGUACCCGCGCGCCGAAAGGGGUGUCCCUCGGGGCACUGCGCUGCAACGGCCUGCGGGCUCCCCAUCCGACCCAUCUUGAAACACGGACCAAGGAGUCUGACAUGCGUGCGAGUCGACGGGUUCUGA
Molecule: ribosomal RNA, 300 nt
Filed under: Triticum aestivum (bread wheat)
Lineage: Eukaryota; Viridiplantae; Streptophyta; Magnoliopsida; Poales; Poaceae
Description: partial small subunit ribosomal RNA
Rfam family: Eukaryotic large subunit ribosomal RNA
Source: RNAcentral